Molecule: ribosomal RNA, 263 nt
Filed under: uncultured Glomus
Lineage: Eukaryota; Fungi; Glomeromycota; Glomeromycetes; Glomerales; Glomeraceae
Description: partial 18S ribosomal RNA
Rfam family: Eukaryotic small subunit ribosomal RNA
Source: RNAcentral
AAGCUCGUAGUUGAAUUUCGGGGUUAGUAGGUUGGUCAUGCCUCUGGUAUGUACUGGUCUCACUGAUUCCUCCUUCCUUAUGAACCGUAAUGCCAUUAAUUUGGUGUUGCGGGGUAAUUUGGACUGUUACUUUGAAAAAACUUAGAGUGUUUAAAACGCAAGCUAACGCUUGAAUACAUUAGCAUGGAAUAAUGAAACUAGGACGUUCGAUCUUAUUUUAGUUGGUUUCUAGGAUUGACGUAAUGAUUAUAGGGAUAGUUGGG